This is a long non-coding RNA of Hippopotamus amphibius kiboko, 663 nucleotides long. RefSeq lists it as uncharacterized. The record is from RefSeq and is a predicted model, not a curated record. NCBI's taxonomy places the organism in Eukaryota, Metazoa, Chordata, Mammalia, Artiodactyla, Hippopotamidae. The transcript has 4 exons.
CUGGAGCUAAAUUUUGUCAAGCCUUUAGGACCAACUGCGACUCAUGGAAAUGAUGGGACAGGGAACAAAAGUACCACCACGGGGAAGCUCACAGUGGGCACUGUGAGCUUGUGCUCCAUCGAAGAACCUGCUGAAUGGAAGAUUUUGCUGAUGAGCAACUACCAACCUGUUGGAACAAUCUAUUCUGGGAAAACUUUCAAACUCUCUACUCACUGAUCCUGUGCCAGCCUUCACAGCAAAUGGAGGCCAAGAGGUUGCUGCAAAGUCAGUGGCAACUUUGGGAAAAGUUCUGACUUCCAAAGAAGUAGAGAGUGUGGAGGACAAGGGCCGGUCCCUACCAGGGAUGCCCGGACGAGUGAUUCACGCCCCACCCCUCUGGCCACUCACCCACUUCCACGAACUCGUUGUCCUCCAGGGCCACCUCCAGCAGGUCCUCAUUGUCCAGCAGGCCCAGGCCCUUGCAGCGGCGCACGAGGAAGCGCACAUCGUCCACCGAGGCGAAGCCACCAUUGUCUGGCUUGUUCUUGAUGUACCUCCGCACAGCCUCCCGGCCCAGCCAGCCCACGGUGGAACAAACUUCUGAUUUUCUUUGCUUGGCUAGAUACUUCUUAUUCCUCAAGACUCAGUUUAGGCCUUCUCUUCUCCAGGAAGCAUUUCCUAAAC